This 522-nucleotide ribosomal RNA is filed under the name uncultured Glomeromycotina. Its description in RNAcentral is "SSU rRNA". It matches the Rfam family "Eukaryotic small subunit ribosomal RNA", at positions 569 to 1092 of the family's 1831-position model. Lineage: Eukaryota; Fungi; Glomeromycota. The record is from RNAcentral.
AGCAGCCGCGGUAAUUCCAGCUCCAAUAGCGUAUAUUAAAGUUGUUGCAGUUAAAAAGCUCGUAGUUGAAUUUCGGGGUCAGUAGGUUGGUCAUGCCACUGGUAUGUACUGGUCUCACUGAUUCCUCCUUCCUGAUGAACUGUAAUGCCAUUAAUUUGGUGUUGCAGGGAAUCUGGACUGUUACUUUGAAAAAAUUAGAGUGUUUAAAGCAGGCUAACGCCUGAAUACAUUAGCAUGGAAUAAUGAAAUAGGACGUUCGAUCCUAUUUUGUUGGUUUCUAGGAUUGACGUAAUGAUUAAUAGGGAUAGUUGGGGGCAUUAGUAUUCAAUUGUCAGAGGUGAAAUUCUUGGAUUUAUUGAAGACUAACUACUGCGAAAGCAUUUGCCAAGGAUGUUUUCAUUAAUCAAGAACGAAAGUUAGGGGAUCGAAGGCGAUCAGAUACCGUCGUAGUCUUAACCAUAAACUAUGCCGACUAGGGAUCGGAUGAUGUUAAUUUUUUAAUGACUCAUUCGGCGCCUUACG